RNA transcript from Raphanus sativus (radish), 2142 nucleotides. RefSeq lists it as uncharacterized. NCBI's taxonomy places the organism in Eukaryota, Viridiplantae, Streptophyta, Magnoliopsida, Brassicales, Brassicaceae. The transcript has 5 exons. The record is from RefSeq and is a predicted model, not a curated record.
UAUACCAUUAACUAAAAUAAUGUCGUCUGGCCCAUUUAAAAAAUAAGCCGUCGUCUCUGAUUCUUCCUUUUCCUCUGCGUCGUUUCGGGUCGACUAUCUGCGUUUCACCGUUCUUUCAUUCCUGUUCUUUAGUUUUCUCUUAAUGAGCUAUUCUUUCCUUCCAACUCCCUCUCUUUCUACUCCUAUAUAAACCACUUCGUCAAAGACUCUCUAUAACAUCCAUUCAAUGAUAACAAUCGAUGGCUAUGAAAUUGAUUCAAACCUCCGACAAGUCUCGUGCUGCACUAUAUUUCGUCGACAUAUCACCAAGGCUAUCAGAGUGGGGAUUACGCUUUAGUUUGAUCUAUUUCUGGGAGGCCAGAAACACUGCCAAUGGUGGGAGCUGCUCAUCCUCGACGAACCAGGGGCACUGUGAUCUACCAGCCUCAACUCAAACCAGGAUCCACUUACAGCCUCAAGAAUUUAUUCGCUACGAAGCCGAAAGAGAUCUAUCGAGUUGCUGAUCUGCGUGUAACCAUUUGUUUCUCGCACAGCUCUGUCCUCUUCCAUCUUGAAUACCUAUCAACGCCGACCGGUUCAGAUUCUACUUACAUGAAGGUUUUGAGUCCAACUGUGGACUCUGAAACAGUCUUCAGCUUAUCUGCCAUGUAUUUGAUGCAUAUUAUUGAGCUUCUUUUCUAAUUUCACUUUAUUAAUUUUCAAAACCACUAUCGUUGUUUACAAUUUGGUUUAAGAAACAUUGGUGCAAAUUAGCAUAUCGUAUAAACACCAAGACAACAUAGAACUAGAACUAAACUUUUUGUUUAGUUUACGUUGUAAGUUCUAUAUUUUGCCUACUGCUUUGUUACUUUUAUAGGUGAUCUCCAUUGAAAAGGGCUUAUGUUUACAUGAACAAGAUGAAUCAGGCAAAGGACUGUUUUCCAUGUCUCUAAAACGCUACGAGAGGCACUCAUACGCCGAGAAACAGGUCAAUGGAACAUAGCAGGCUUAAGGCUAGGGGUGAUCUUUUGGAUAUCAAAGGCAUUAUGUGGGAAAGUAUUUAGAAUCAAUUGCAUAAGUGAACUCCAGACUCUCGAGUAACAGCUGGACACUUCUCUUAAACAUCUUUGCUCCAGAAAAGUAUGUAUGUAUAUCUUCCUUAUGGACGCAUACUCACACGCACACAUCUCUUUUAAAUUGUUUGAGUUUGUGCAGAUAUAAAUAUAUGCCUAACUAUUGUAAGUGAUGUGGAAAGAUUCUUAUUUAUCUUUAAAACUAUGGUUAUAGGUCAUGCAUGGUUUAGUGUUUGUCUCAUAUGAAUGAAUACAAUUUUGACUCAUUGGUGCAUAAUCAAUGUACGAGUCCCUCAACCACCUUCAAAGAAAGGUGUCCAACCGAGUUCAAGGAGCUUGCGGUGCAUUACUUGCGUGGAGGCGCACAAUGGUGGGUCAGUGUGGUUCGGAGCAUGCCUGUUGGAUAUGGAUCCCUUGGGAGACCUUUGGAGAAGAAUUGAAUAGGAAGUAUUUUCUGCAAGAGAGCUGGGGGGAUUGAGAGCUGAUAUACGCAAGCGAUGUGCAAUACAUGCAUAUGGUAUCUUGAUUGAGUUGGUUGAGAAAUCAGUCUUGAUGGAGGCUGUGCUUUUGGAGGAAGCAAAGUUCCUGAAAGUACUUAAUCCAAGACGACCAGGCGAGCAGAGUUGUCCUGGUGGGGUCAACAACUGUAGAAGGUGUGGUCAGCGAGGCCAUUAUGCAUGGGACUGCACAGCUCAUAUGGUUGGAGGACAACAAGGUAAUCAAAACCAAGGAAAUUUUCCACCACCUCUUAAGAGACGAGCCGUGGGACAUCGGAUGUGUGUCACAGCAGGUCAGGAUGACACAGAACCAAUAGAAUACCAAGAGUGCUCGGAGAUAUCCCUAAGAAUGGUUAUUUUUUCGUGGAAUUUCGUGGAAAUGGCAGGAGAGGGCAAUCAGGAGGAAAACACAUGCUUUGUAAAUAGUUGAUCAUUGCUUUUUUCUUCUUUUUUGCGUUUCUUAAUGUUUGAUAACUAUUAUACUCUUUCAAGUUCCAGUGUUUUACUCCACUUCAGUCUCGAACUUGAGCUACCAUCGCUCCACUUUGGGCACCAAAUGUUUCUUAAAAUGAAGAAUUAGUUGUUUCUUUUCA